Molecule: long non-coding RNA, 2107 nt
Filed under: Callithrix jacchus (white-tufted-ear marmoset)
Lineage: Eukaryota; Metazoa; Chordata; Mammalia; Primates; Cebidae
Description: lncRNA (ENSCJAG00000079136.1)
Source: RNAcentral
ACUAUUGACACUUAAGGUGUCAUUUGGUUGCUAUUUGCAUGGUAAACCUGUUUUUCAUUCUUUUAUUUUCAAGUCAGUUUUAUCUUAAUGUGAACUUAUUUUAUUUUUAUUUCUUUUUAGAGAGACAACAUAGAGUUGAAUCACUUAAAAAUUACUCUGCCAAUCUCUCCCUUUGAUUCAAGUGUGUAGUUCAUUUGCAUUUGAUGAAUUUACUGAUAAGAUAUUAUUUCCUUCUAUUUUUCGAUUUGUUUACUCUAUGUUUCAUAGUGAUGGUUAAUAAUGAGUGUCGACUUGAUUGGAUUGAAAGAUACAAAGUAUCGAUCCUGGGUAUAUCUGUGAGGGUGUUGCCAAAUGAGAUUAACAUUUGAGUCAGUGAGCUGGGGAAGGCAGAUCCACCUCAACCUAGUGGGCACAAUCUGAUAAUCUGCCAGCAAAUAUAAAGCAAAAGAAAAAUGUGAAAAAGAGAGACUGGCCUAGCCUUCCAACCUACAACUUUCUCCUAUGCUGAAUGCUUCCUGCCCUUGAACAUCAAACUCCAAGUUCUUUAGUUUUGGGACUCAAACUGGCUCUCCUUGCUCCUCAGCUUGCAGACAUCCUAUUUUGGGACUUUGUGAUCAUGAUGGUAUUGUUGGAUAUGAAGUUCUGGCUAACAGUUUUUGUUGUUGAUGUUGCUCAGCAAAUUGAAUAUGUUAUCCCACAGUCUUCUGGCCUCCAUGGUUUCUGAUGACAAGUAAGCUAUUCAUAUUAUUUAGGAUUUCUUGUAUGUAAUAAACUGCUUUUCUCUUGCAACUUUCAAGAUUCUCUCUCUCUCUCUUUUGGCUUUUGACAUAUUUUGACUACAGUGUGCCUAGGUGUGGAUCUGUUUGAAUAUAUGCUACUUGCAUGUGCCAAUUAACUUUUUUUAACCAAAUUUGGGAUGUUUUCCACUAUCAUUUCUCAUUAUUUUCCUUUUUCUUUUUUGUCUUUUUCAUUGUAUAUUUUCUUGUGCAUGAACAAUUUUUUUUUCAUUUUUUUUGGUGUGUGUUAAUCUCUCAUUAAAAAAUGGGUAUUUAAAAUAAUAUAACGUGGCAAAUCUAGAAAUUAGAUACCCCUCCCCUAACUCAAGGUUUAUUGCUUUUGUUGUAGUAGUUGCUGCUGCUGUUUCCUGGAACAAGUCUGGAAAGUUUGCAUUUUUUGGUCAUGUGUGGCCACUGAAUUAACUGCUAUGUUAGAUUAAGUAUCAACUAAUAAUCAGACAGAAAUUUCUUAAAAUGCCUUGAAUCAAUAUGUCCCCCAGCUUUUGCCAGGAUACUCUGUAUGUGGGUUGGGGCAUAUCUUCAAUUUCCUGUUAUGCUUUUACUUUCUCCUUGCAGAAAACCUCACUUCUAUUUGCUCAGUGUCUCAAAGUCAAUCAGAGGUGAAAGUUGAACCUUCUCAAGUCUUUCUUGGGCAUCUAUACAGCCCUGCAAAUGCUGGUAAUCUAUAUUCUCAGGACUAUGAUAGAGCUUUUUCAAGUUGCCUAAGAACAUCUCAAUUACUUUAAAUUUUUUUUCAGUUUUUCGUUAGUCUCAAGUUGAAUCAGUUUGAUUCAACACUGAAUCCAACUAAUGGAGCUGCAACAUUAAACAGUUACCACAGGUUGUUUUUGACAAAUGUUCUGGAGAUAUGGUUGCUCAGGCAUAGCAGGCUCUUAGUCACAUCAAAUAGAAAAAAACUCUGAGAAUUGACUUUUUCCAUUGAGCUUCCAGACAGUCUAAUUAUAAGCAUGCCUAGAGAUAUUGUAGGUUUGGCUUCAGAUUAUUGUAAUGAAGUAAAUAUUGCAGUAAAGUGAGUCACAUGAAUAUUUUUGCUUCCCAGGGCAUAUAAAAGUUAUGUUUACAGGCUGAGUGUAACAUAACAUUCAUGCCUAUAAUUGCAGCAUUUGGGAAGCCACAGAUCCCCCUCCUGUAAUUCUAGCACUUUAGGGAGGCUGAGGCAGAAGGAUUAUUUGAGCCCAGGAGUUCAAGACCAGCUUGAACAAUAUAGUAAGACCUCAUCUCUACAAAAAAUAAAAAAGUUAGGGGGGUAUGGUGGCACACACCUGUGGUCCCACCUAAUCAGGGGGGUGAGGUGGAAGGAUCAUUUCAGC